AGAGUUUGAUCCUGGCUCAGGAUGAACGCUAGCGGCAGGCUUAACACAUGCAAGUCGAGGGGUAGAGGUUGCUUGCAACCUUGAGACCGGCGCACGGGUGCGUAACGCGUAUGCAACCUACCUUUUACAGAGGGAUAGCCCAGAGAAAUUUGGAUUAAUACCUCAUAGUAUAUAUCUUUCGCAUGUUAGGUAUAUUAAAGUUCCAACGGUAAAAGAUGGGCAUGCGUCCUAUUAGCUAGAUGGUAAGGUAACGGCUUACCAUGGCUACGAUUGGUAGGGGUCCUGAGAGGGAGAUCCCCCACACUGGUACUGAGACACGGACCAGACUCCUACGGGAGGCAGCAGUGAGGAAUAUUGGACAAUGGGCGCAAGCCUGAUCCAGCCAUGCCGCGUGCAGGAAGAAGCAUCUAUGGUGUGUAAACUGCUUUUGUACAGGAAGAAACAUCCCGACGUGUCGGGACUUGACGGUACUGUAAGAAUAAGGAUCGGCUAACUCCGUGCCAGCAGCCGCGGUAAUACGGAGGAUCCAAGCGUUAUCCGGAAUCAUUGGGUUUAAAGGGUCCGUAGGCGGUUUGGUAAGUCAGUGGUGAAAGCCCGCAGCUCAACUGUGGAACGGCCAUUGAUACUGCCAGACUUGAAUUACAAGGAAGUAACUAGAAUAUGUAGUGUAGCGGUGAAAUGCUUAGAUAUUACAUGGAAUACCAAUUGCGAAGGCAGGUUACUACUUGUGGAUUGACGCUGAUGGACGAAAGCGUGGGGAGCGAACAGGAUUAGAUACCCUGGUAGUCCAA
This 791-nucleotide ribosomal RNA is filed under the name uncultured bacterium. RNAcentral's name for it is "bacterial SSU rRNA". It matches the Rfam family "Bacterial small subunit ribosomal RNA", at positions 8 to 798 of the family's 1533-position model. The record is from RNAcentral.